This 396-nucleotide ribosomal RNA is filed under the name uncultured bacterium. RNAcentral's name for it is "partial 16S ribosomal RNA". It matches the Rfam family "Bacterial small subunit ribosomal RNA", at positions 523 to 918 of the family's 1533-position model. The record is from RNAcentral.
AUACGUAGGGAGCAAGCGUUAUCCGGAUUUAUUGGGUGUAAAGGGUGCGUAGACGGGAAAUUAAGUUAGUUGUGAAAUCCCUCGGCUCAACUGAGGAACUGCAACUAAAACUGAUUUUCUUGAGUGCAGGAGAGGAAAGUGGAAUUCCUAGUGUAGCGGUGAAAUGUGUAGAUAUUAGGAGGAACACCAGUGGCGAAGGCGACUUUCUGGACUGUAACUGACGUUGAGGCACGAAAGCGUGGGGAGCAAACAGGAUUAGAUACCCUGGUAGUCCACGCUGUAAACGAUGGAUACUAGGUGUAGGGAAUAUUAAGCCUUCUGUGCCGUCGCUAACGCAGUAAGUAUCCCACCUGGGGAGUACGACCGCAAGGUUGAAACUCAAAUGAAUUGGCGGGG